RNAcentral lists this ribosomal RNA (450 nucleotides) under uncultured bacterium. RNAcentral's name for it is "partial 16S ribosomal RNA". It matches the Rfam family "Bacterial small subunit ribosomal RNA", at positions 354 to 796 of the family's 1533-position model. The record is from RNAcentral.
GUGGGGAAUUUUGGACAAUGGGGGCAACCCUGAUCCAGCAAUGCCGCGUGCAGGAAGAAGGCCUUCGGGUUGUAAACUGCUUUUGUACGGAACGAAACGGUCCUGGUUAAUACCUGGGGCUAAUGACGGUACCGUAAGAAUAAGCACCGGCUAACUACGUGCCAGCAGCCGCGGUAAUACGUAGGGUGCAAGCGUUAAUCGGAAUUACUGGGCGUAAAGUGUGCGCAGGCGGUUUUGUAAGCCAGGCGUGAAAUCCCCGGGCUCAACCUGGGAAUGGCGCUUGUGACUGCAAGGCUGGAGUGCGGCAGAGGGGGAUGGAAUUCCGCGUGUAGCAGUGAAAUGCGUAGAUAUGCGGAGGAACACCGAUGGCGAAGGCAAUCCCCUGGGCCUGCACUGACGCUCAUGCACGAAAGCGUGGGGAGCAAACAGGAUUAGAUACCCUGGUAGUCC